AUUGAACGCUGGCGGCAGGCCUAACACAUGCAAGUCGAGCGGUAGAGAGGUGCUUGCAUCUCUUGAGAGCGGCGGACGGGUGAGUAAUGCCUAGGAAUCUGCCUAGUGGUGGGGGAUAACGUUCGGAAACGGACGCUAAUACCGCAUACGUCCUACGGGAGAAAGCGGGGGAUCUUCGGACCUCGCGCCAUUAGAUGAGCCUAGGUCGGAUUAGCUAGUUGGUGAGGUAAUGGCUCACCAAGGCGACGAUCCGUAACUGGUCUGAGAGGAUGAUCAGUCACACUGGAACUGAGACACGGUCCAGACUCCUACGGGAGGCAGCAGUGGGAAUAUUGGACAAUGGGCGAAAGCCUGAUCCAGCCAUGCCGCGUGUGUGAAGAAGGUCUUCGGAUUGUAAAGCACUUUAAGUUGGGAGGAAGGGCAGUAAGUUAAUACCUU
RNAcentral lists this ribosomal RNA (438 nucleotides) under uncultured bacterium. RNAcentral's name for it is "bacterial SSU rRNA". It matches the Rfam family "Bacterial small subunit ribosomal RNA", at positions 30 to 470 of the family's 1533-position model. The record is from RNAcentral.